RNAcentral lists this ribosomal RNA (490 nucleotides) under Ischnocnema parva. RNAcentral's name for it is "partial 16S ribosomal RNA". The stretch from base 149 to 490 matches the Rfam family "Bacterial large subunit ribosomal RNA", at positions 566 to 1067 of the family's 2925-position model. Lineage: Eukaryota; Metazoa; Chordata; Amphibia; Anura; Brachycephalidae. The record is from RNAcentral.
GCCAAAAAUUUAGCCCGUCCAACCCAACUACACCCAACAAUCAACUAAAAUAUUCUAUCACCUAGUAGAGAUGAUCGAAACCCUAACAAGAGCUAUAUUAAAGUACCGCAAGGGAAAAAUGAAAGACAAUGAAAACUAUAAAGCACAAAAAAGUAAAGCCUACAUCUUGUACCUUUUGCAUCAUGAUUUAACUAGUCCAACCAAGCAAAAAGACUUUUAGUUUGAAUCCCCGAAACCGGGUGAGCUACUUAGGGGCAGCUUACCGAGCAAACCCGUCCCUGUUGCAAAAGGGUGGGAAGACCCCCUAGUAGAGGUGACAAACCUAUCGAACCCUGUGAUAGCUGGUUACUCGAAAAAAGAAUUUUAGUCCAACCUAAAGUAACUCAUAAAUAAAAUUAUCGCUUUAGAGUAAUUCAAAUAAGGUACAGCCUAUUUGAAACAGGAUACAACCUCUGACAAUGGCUAAUAAUAAAAUACCUAACUAAGUGGG